GCCUGGAAAUUAGCGGCGGAGUCUUCACCUUAUACAAAACGUAUCCGGUGCACAUUCCUGUAAAUUAAAUGAAGAGGUGCAUAAUUAGGGGCCCACUCGUUGCCAUGGUUUGUCAUAUAAGAAAUCGAAAGACUCGAAGGGCAGAGAAACUUUGUGGGUGUACUGAUAUGUCAAGGAUAUUAUACCAGAAAUGCUCCACGAGCUGAGUAGAAAAACGAAAAGUGUAAUAGCCACGGCUUUGAAGUACCUGAAAACGACCGGCUAAAUCUGCAACAACUUCCUGAAAAUCAAAAGAGAAAAACUUGUUAAACGUGUUGUGCCCACAACCAGUCGUGGUUGUGGCCAACUGGAAAAGCGUCGAUGCAGCGGGAGGUUAUUGGUACCAUUGUUUAUAUAACUUCCGCGUAUCAUUUCGCCAAGAUGGUGUGACAAUGAUCACAGCCACUACCUGCUUACUUUCCACCACAUUAUGCAAUUCGGUUUUGACUCAACAACGCGAAUCUAAAGCGUGCCAAAAAGAUUUUAGGCAUACGGAUAUAAAAAGGCAAAUCAAUUAAUAAAAAAAAACAAUUUGUUUUAAUUUUUCAACAGUUUUGACGUUUUUUUGACACGUUUUGAUGGUUGUGGGCGUUAGGAGGGG
This is a long non-coding RNA of Drosophila sechellia, 640 nucleotides long. RefSeq lists it as uncharacterized. The transcript has 3 exons. The record is from RefSeq and is a predicted model, not a curated record. NCBI's taxonomy places the organism in Eukaryota, Metazoa, Arthropoda, Insecta, Diptera, Drosophilidae.